CCUACGGGAGGCAGCAGUGAGGAAUUUUCGUCAAUGGGCUUACGCCUGAACCAGCCAAGUCGCGUGAGCGAAGACUGCCCUCUGGUUUGUAAACCUCUUUUGUCAGGGAACAACGCCGGCUACGUGUAGCCGUACUGAGAGUACCUGCAGUAAAAGCAUCGGCAAACUCCGUGCCAGCGGCCGCGGUAAUUCAGAGGAUGCGAGCGUUAUCCGGAUUUAUUGGGUUUAAGGGUUGCGUGGGGGGCAGGCCAAGUCAGCGGUAAAAUCGCGGGGCUAAACCUCGCACGGCCGUUGAAACUGGCGUUAUGGAGUGAGCGAGAAGUAUGCGGAAUGCGUGGGGUAGCGGUGAAAU
This 352-nucleotide ribosomal RNA is filed under the name uncultured bacterium. RNAcentral describes it as "partial 16S ribosomal RNA". It matches the Rfam family "Bacterial small subunit ribosomal RNA", at positions 338 to 687 of the family's 1533-position model. The record is from RNAcentral.